This 497-nucleotide ribosomal RNA is filed under the name uncultured bacterium. Its description in RNAcentral is "partial 16S ribosomal RNA". It matches the Rfam family "Bacterial small subunit ribosomal RNA", at positions 28 to 507 of the family's 1533-position model. The record is from RNAcentral.
GAUGAACGCUGGCGGCGUGCCUAAUACAUGCAAGUCGAGCGAACAGACGAGGAGCUUGCUCCUCUGACGUUAGCGGCGGACGGGUGAGUAACACGUGGAUAACCUACCUAUAAGACUGGGAUAACUUCGGGAAACCGGAGCUAAUACCGGAUAAUAUAUUGAACCGCAUGGUUCAAUAGUGAAAGACGGUUUUGCUGACACUUAUAGAUGGUACCGCGCCGGUUUAGCUAGUUGGUAAGGUAACGGCUUACCAAGGCUACGAUGCGUAGCCGACCUGAGAGGAUGACCGGUCACACAGGAACGGAGACAAGCUCCAGACUCCUAGGGGAGGCAGCAGUGGGGAAUAUUGGACAAUGGGCGAAAGCCUGAGACAGCCACGCCGCGUAUGUGAAGAAGGUUUUCGGAUCUUAAAGCUCUUUUAGUGGGGAGGAACAGUAGUAAAAGAAUAUCUACCUGUCUUGACGUCACCAACAAAAAAAGCGACGGCUAACCCCGUG